CGCGUAGGCGGACUAUUAAGUCAGGGUGAAAUCCCGGGCUCAACCCCGGAACUGCCCUUGAUACUGGUAGUCUUGAGUUCGAGAGAGGUGAGUGGAAUUCCGAGUGUAGAGGUGAAAUUCGUAGAUAUUCGGAGGAACACCAGUGGCGAAGGCGGCUCACUGGCUCGAUACUGACGCUGAGGUGCGAAAGCGUGGGGAGCAAACA
This 205-nucleotide ribosomal RNA is filed under the name uncultured bacterium. Its description in RNAcentral is "partial 16S ribosomal RNA". It matches the Rfam family "Bacterial small subunit ribosomal RNA", at positions 568 to 774 of the family's 1533-position model. The record is from RNAcentral.